CCAGACACUUGGUCAACGUCUGUCUCGAACUCGUUUGUCAUGGCGCGCGGGGAGAACACAGCGGCUGGAAACACUUCUCUUCACACGCGACGUUGUGUUCGUCUCUGCGUCCCUGGGUCAUCGUCGUCUUGCCUCCUCACCUUCGGUCUUCGCCAUCAGUGGGAAGUUCGUGUGCUUAGUGGAUGCAGCGGCCUGAUCGUUCUUUCAAGCGGCCCGCACAUCCGGCGCUGUCAUCGCUGCCAUUCG
Eriocheir sinensis (Chinese mitten crab) is the source of this 246-nucleotide long non-coding RNA. RefSeq lists it as uncharacterized. Lineage: Eukaryota; Metazoa; Arthropoda; Malacostraca; Decapoda; Varunidae. The record is from RefSeq and is a predicted model, not a curated record. The transcript has 4 exons.